RNAcentral lists this ribosomal RNA (927 nucleotides) under uncultured fungus. RNAcentral describes it as "eukaryotic LSU rRNA". The stretch from base 528 to 927 matches the Rfam family "Eukaryotic large subunit ribosomal RNA", at positions 1 to 394 of the family's 3401-position model. The record is from RNAcentral. Lineage: Eukaryota; Fungi.
CUGUCGAGCUUGCUCACGGGAUUUCAAUCAUAUCCAUAACACCUGUGCACUUGUUGGAUGGUAUAACAGAGCCCUAGUGGUGAAGUUUUCCAUCUAAUUUACACUAAACAAUCCUGUAACAAAUGUAGUCUUAUUAUAACAUAAUAAAACUUUCAACAACGGAUCUCUUGGCUCUCGCAUCGAUGAAGAACGCAGCGAAAUGCGAUAAGUAAUGUGAAUUGCAGAAUUCAGUGAAUCAUCGAAUCUUUGAACGCACCUUGCGCUCCUUGGUAUUCCGAGGAGCAUGCCUGUUUGAGUGUCAUGAAAACCCUCAACCUUAGAUUGGUUAUUUGACCUUUCUUUGGCUUGGAUUUGGACGUUUGCCGAUGAUAAGUCGGCUCGUCUUAAAAGUAAUAGCUGGAUCUGUCUCGCGACAUGGUUUGACUUGGCGUAAUAAGUAUUUCGCUAAGGACAUCUUCGGAUGGCCCUGUUGCAGACUAAAGACCGCUUUCUAAUCCAUUGAUCUUCGGAUUAAUAUUCAUAACAUCUGGCCUCAAAUCAGGUAGGACUACCCGCUGAACUUAAGCAUAUCAAUAAGCGGAGGAAAAGAAACUAACAAGGAUUCCCCUAGUAACGGCGAGUGAAGCGGGAAGAGCUCAAAUUUGAAAUCUGGUAGCCUUCGGUUGCCCGAGUUGUAAUCUAGAGAAGUGUUUUCCGCGUUGGCCCAUGUACAAGUCCCUUGGAACAGGGCGUCAUAGAGGGUGAGAAUCCCGUCCUUGACAUGGACCCCCAAUGCUUUGUGAUACACUUUCAACGAGUCGAGUUGUUUGGGAAUGCAGCUCAAAAUGGGUGGUGAAUUCCAUCUAAAGCUAAAUAUUGGCGAGAGACCGAUAGCGAACAAGUACCGUGAGGGAAAGAUGAAAAGCACUUUGGAAAGAGAGUUAAACA